ACCGCUAAUCCUCCAGUUAGGAAACGACCCGCUCUACCUCCUGAGCCACAGCUGCCCCCAUACAUUACAUUCAUUUGUUGCAGUUUGGAUUAAUACACAUUGUUGUGCUAGUAUUUAUGGCAGCAGGAUAGUUGGACUGACAGUGACUCAAAAUUAACUAUAGUUCCCAUGGUUAUAAUAACAAAGGGCCAUGUCAGCUGGCACAUUAUGGUUCGCUGCUAUGUUUUUAAUAGUCUUUGAACAAGAAUGGCGUUCAAGCUAAGUUAGUCAUUGGCUACUUAGGCAAUACUGAUAUGAUAUAUUCAUAAUCUUUUCAUGGGACUUAUCAGCAUGAAACACAUACCAACUGCCUUAUAUUUUAAUGAAAUUCAUCUGAAGAAUUGUUACAGAUGCUAACCUUCUUGCUUACAAUGUAAUUAUUUGGCAUAAAAUAAUAUUUCCUGUAUGUGGACUCCAACAGUAUAAUGACAUAGUAACCAGUGAAAAUUUGAUAUCACAAGCCUCUGGGAAAUGCCUGAGUGAGUCAGGUCAUGGAUCUGAAACACUGGAGGGCACACAUCACAAUUUAAAAAUGUGCUUUAAAUAUAUAUAUAAAUGACCUCAUAAUGGAAGAUUUUAGGGGAAUGAGUAAGUAUAAUUAAUCACCAUAAUAACUGCUGCACCCAUCACCUCUGAAUAAUUACUGACUACCUGGUAUGUGCUAAUUGACAAACUCCUCUGGGACAAAGGGAAUUAAGCAGACCAGACCAGACUAUAUUCUGACUCAUUCCUGGAUUUCCUGUGUUGCUGUAAUUGUGUAAUGCUGAUUUGAUGCUCAUUUAACAUUGACCCUCCAAUGCCAUUAGGUUUUCAAUUUGACAGUGUUCCUGAAAAGAGCACCUUCUCAGCACCUGUAAGGACACAUCUCCACUGCCAACACAGGUCAUCAGGAGCUGGCUCUGCAUGUUUUAAAUAGCAGUGGUAAAGCACAAUAACUCAGUCUCUCCUCUCUGCUUAUUAAAAGAGAACAUUUUAAUGGACAUAUCUGCUCCUCAGGGACUUCAGUGUGGGAAACAAAAAAACACUUCCCACCUCAAAGCAAAAAAAAAAAAGGAGCUCUUGACUCUUACCAGCGACUGAGGUUUUUAAACGGGCACAUGUAUGGUUGUAUAAGGUGGAUCAUGAUUAAGUGAGCAUUAUAGUUUACACCUGCUUGCAUUUGUAGCUGCAGUAUGUACUGUAAAUGUUAAUGAACUCCAAGCAAAGUAACUGUGCUCAUGUUCAUGUUAUGUCCGUGGCCCAGACCAACCCCAGCACCUCAUCUGCGCCUCAUCUCCCACACAGGUGGGAAGGCAUUCUAGGCAGCGAGGCACACCUGCUCUUAAUUACCAGACUAGUACUUAAGGGGAGCGUUGGUGUGCCCUCAUUGCCAGAUGAUCUCUUGUAUUCCUGCCGGUAACCUGUCUUUACUCUCAUCACUAGGAUUCCCUAUGUAUGAACUGUUUUCUAUAUUGUUGGACUUGAUUUCAGGUGACACUCCUCAGGACGAGGAGACCAACUCUUGCUGGGACUGGUUGCCUGGCUCUGGAUCCCAACUGUCAGCCGUCCUCACACCAUCCUGCUACCUGCUCUACCAUCCGCUGUGAGCCUGAUUCUCACUAUCUACUGCACGCUGGACCAGUGAUCUCCUGUGCCAACUCCUACACCACCUCUAGACUGUGUUUCAUGCCUAUGGCAUUCACCUGACUUGAGCCACCAGCUGCGCCUCUCCUACAACCUCGGGUUGAAGCUCUAGCAGUCCAGUCAACCCAGUACUCCCCGCUGCCCUGAGAUCAGCUGACGAGACCGGUUCUGACCACUCAUCAUUUCUGUAGUCAUUAAAAUACAUUUACCUGGUUAAGCCUGAGUCUGAGUUCUGCCUUUUUACUGAGUCCGACUAAUAUAUGUAUAUAUGGUUCUCCAUAACAGUUCAGCUGUACCUUUUGACACUGACCAUUAUAUCUUCUGUUGUCUGCAUCAAUGUCUGAUUAUUUCUCAUGAAGAUCUCUCAAAUUCUGUUUUGCAUUUGUAACACAUCUGUUGUAAAUUUAGAACAUACACAAGCAGUUCAGAGUCUGUGCUGGAAGCUGCUGUAGCUGUAUGUUGCUUUAGUGUCCACAAAAUUCUUUCCACUUCAGAGUGUAACUACCUUUCUUUCAGUUAAGGAAAAAGGUUCAGAAUUACUGGAUAACCAGAGGAAUCACAGACAAAGGUAUACUUUAAGUUCUCAUUUGGUUCUGUAGCUGCAAUUACUGUACAUGUGCCAAUCAGUAAUAUCGAUGACUUCCUUUCACUGUGUACAUUGGAAUUGUUCCUGCUGUUACACACUGAAAUCUAUUAGGAUAAGCUGAUCUUUGACCUUUUGUCUCCCAUGAUUAGUGUCACAAUUCAUUUAAAUAUAAGGUUGGAAAUGCCAUGAUUGUCUCACUGAACAUACAGUACCAUGGUAAAGAUAUUAAUGUGACCUACCGGUUGAGUGAUAAUGUGUCUCGUACUCCCAAAAGAAAAGACAGUGUGUGUGUUUUGUAGCGCUGCAACAGGCCCACCCCGACAAACAGCUGAGUGAAUUGUGGUGCAGUAAAUGUGUUAAGUAUUGAUCAACAAUAUACAUAAGUGAGUUUG
Long non-coding RNA from Monopterus albus (swamp eel), 2640 nucleotides. RefSeq lists it as uncharacterized. The transcript is spliced from 3 exons. Lineage: Eukaryota; Metazoa; Chordata; Actinopteri; Synbranchiformes; Synbranchidae. The record is from RefSeq and is a predicted model, not a curated record.